CCUACGGGAGGCAGCAGUGAGGAAUAUUGGACAAUGGGCGCAAGCCUGAUCCAGCCAUGCCGCGUGCAGGAAGAAGCAUCUAUGGUGUGUAAACUGCUUUUGUACAGGAAGAAACACUCCCUCGUGAGGGAGCUUGACGGUACUGUAAGAAUAAGGACCGGCUAACUCCGUGCCAGCAGCCGCGGUAAUACGGAGGGUCCGAGCGUUAUCCGGAAUCAUUGGGUUUAAAGGGUCCGUAGGCGGUUUAAUAAGUCAGUGGUGAAAUCUGGUCGCUCAACGAUCAAACGGCCAUUGAUACCGUUAGACUUGAAUUAUAAGGAAGUAACUAGAAUAUGUAGUGUAGCGGUGAAAUGCUUAGAUAUUACAUGGAAUACCAAUUGCGAAGGCAGGUUACUACUUAUGGAUUGACGCUGAUGGACGAAAGCGUGGGGAGCGAACAGGAUUAGAUACCCUGGUAGUCCACGCCGUAAACGAUGGAUACUAGCUGUUCGGAGCAAUCUGAGUGNGUAGAGAAGUAGAGUAAGUAAGUACCACCGUCGGGAGGUACGGUUCGUCGAAGAAAGUUAGAAACGUAACAAAUUAAGUAAGUUAGUUACGGCGUGAGACGUUAGCCGACGGACGACGACGAGGGGAAGGAGGAG
Molecule: ribosomal RNA, 641 nt
Filed under: uncultured bacterium
Lineage: Bacteria
Description: bacterial SSU rRNA
Rfam family: Bacterial small subunit ribosomal RNA (bases 1-535)
Source: RNAcentral